RNAcentral lists this ribosomal RNA (457 nucleotides) under uncultured Acidimicrobiales bacterium. RNAcentral's name for it is "bacterial SSU rRNA". It matches the Rfam family "Bacterial small subunit ribosomal RNA", at positions 923 to 1378 of the family's 1533-position model. The record is from RNAcentral. Lineage: Bacteria; Bacillati; Actinomycetota; Acidimicrobiia; Acidimicrobiales.
GCACAAGCGGCGGAGCAUGCGGCUUAAUUCGAUGCAACCCGAAGAACCUUACCUGGGCUUGACAUCAUGGGAAAAGCCGUAGAGAUACGGUGUGCAUUAGCGUCCAUGACAGGUGGUGCAUGGCUGUCGUCAGCUCGUGUCGUGAGAUGUUGGGUUAAGUCCCGCAACGAGCGCAACCCUUGUCCUAUGUUGCCAGCGGUUCGGCCGGGGACUCAUAGGAGACUGCCGGGGACAACUCGGAGGAAGGUGAGGACGACGUCAAGUCAUCAUGCCCCUUAUGUCCAGGGCUGCACGCAUGCUACAAUGGUCGGUACAACGGGCUGCGAUCCCGCGAGGGUGAGCGAAUCCCUUAAAGCCGGCCUCAGUUCGGAUUGGAGUCUGCAACUCGACUCCAUGAAGUCGGAGUCGCUAGUAAUCGCGGAUCAGCAAAGCCGCGGUGAAUGCGUUCUCGGGGAUU